AAAAAUUACAUAAGACUAGCUCGUAUAAUAGCUGGAAUAUGGCCAGCGAGUUUCUACCGGAUUACCAUAAAUUUUCCGACUACGAGUAAGCUCAUUUGGUUU
This 102-nucleotide non-coding RNA is filed under the name Schinkia azotoformans LMG 9581. RNAcentral's name for it is "Bacillus azotoformans LMG 9581 Purine riboswitch aptamer". It matches the Rfam family "Purine riboswitch aptamer". From Rfam's summary of the family: Riboswitches are metabolite binding domains within certain messenger RNAs that serve as precision sensors for their corresponding targets. Allosteric rearrangement of mRNA structure is mediated by ligand binding, and this results in modulation of gene expression. The record is from Rfam by way of RNAcentral. Lineage: Bacteria; Bacillati; Bacillota; Bacilli; Caryophanales; Bacillaceae.